UACCAGACUCCUACGGGAGGCAGCAGUGAGGAAUAUUGGUCAAUGGGCGCGAGCCUGAACCAGCCAAGUCGCGUGAGGGAAGACGGUCCUAUGGAUUGUAAACCUCUUUUGUCGGGGAGCAAAAGACGCCACGUGUGGCGUUCCGAGAGUACCCGAAGAAAAAGCAUCGGCUAACUCCGUGCCAGCAGCCGCGGUAAUACGGAGGAUGCGAGCGUUAUCCGGAUUUAUUGGGUUUAAAGGGUGCGUAGGCGGAAUGCCAAGUCAGGGGUAAAAUCGCGGGGCUCAACCUCGCUCCGCCGUUGAAACUGGGGAUCUUGAGUGGGCGAGAAGUAUGCGGAAUGCGUGGUGUAGCGGUGAAAUGCAUAGAUAUCACGCAGAACUCCGAUUGCGAAGGCAGCAUACCGGCGCCCGACUGACGCUGAGGCACGAAAGCGUGGGGAUCGAACAGGAUUAGAUACCCCGGUAC
Molecule: ribosomal RNA, 466 nt
Filed under: uncultured bacterium
Lineage: Bacteria
Description: bacterial SSU rRNA
Rfam family: Bacterial small subunit ribosomal RNA
Source: RNAcentral